CACAAUUGCCAAAAGUCUAUGUCCCAUCCUCUUUUCUCUUCCUUCCCCUCCUCCUCUGCCGCUGCUGCUUUAGCGCCGAGGAUUCUUUUAGCAUGGGACAGGUCUUCUAAUUUGUGUUAUCAAGAUUUGAGCAAGCACUGUCUCCAUCGCAUCUCUAUUAAGCUUGAAUGACCUAGAUGUUAGGGUUGAAAGGAACGGAGGAUUUCUUAUUCUAUGCACAAAUCUCAGAACGCUUCUUAAAUUGUUCUGAUGCUACUAAAGCCAAGG
Molecule: unclassified non-coding RNA, 267 nt
Filed under: Hevea brasiliensis (rubber tree)
Lineage: Eukaryota; Viridiplantae; Streptophyta; Magnoliopsida; Malpighiales; Euphorbiaceae
Source: RNAcentral